Molecule: ribosomal RNA, 279 nt
Filed under: uncultured bacterium
Lineage: Bacteria
Description: partial 16S ribosomal RNA
Rfam family: Bacterial small subunit ribosomal RNA
Source: RNAcentral
UGCCAGCAGCCGCGGUAAUACGGAGGGUGCGAGCGUUAAUCGGAAUUAUUGGGCGUAAAGGGUGCGCAGGCGGCAUAAUAAGUCGGGCGUGAAAGCCCCGAGCUUAACUCGGGAACUGCGUUCGAAACUAUUAAGCUAGAGUACGGUAGAGGGAAGUGGAAUUUCCGGUGUAGCGGUGAAAUGCGUAGAUAUCGGAAGGAACAUCAGUGGCGAAGGCGACUUCCUGGACCAGUACUGACGCUCAGGCACGAAAGCGUGGGGAGCAAACAGGAUUAGAUA